GUUAAAGUUACAGGCUGAUUUAAAGCUCUCAGAUCCCAGGAUGGUGUUUCCUGAAGCACUCUUCCCAACUCCAGGUAGACCAAGAAGAACGAUCCUCCUCUGAACCUCCAAACCAGCUGGAAGACAGAGCAGAUUAAAAACACAUUAUUGAACAGGUUGUGGUACUGAAAUGUCAGUAGACAGUAAUUUAAGGUUUUGUUGCCUAAAAUAUGUGAAGCAGCACAUUGAAGUACUGUAUGUAGUUUAUUAUCAUUGUUAGUUUUAAUGCAGCAUGUUUUAAUCUGACUUUCUAAGCUGCUCUCUCCUGAUGUUACUUUUACAAGUUUCUUCAACCAUCUGAUUUAGAAAUAAUGACCAGCUUCAGUCACUGGCUGACAUCACCCAGAGUCAUGGGGUUUUUAAUCAAUGUUGAGGAGCUCCAUCACAGUCUACCUGCUGGGUCCAGUGGUUGUUGGUCUCCAAGGUUUCUGGUCUUCAGCAGCAGAUCUUGGACUUGUUCCUGAUCUCCAUCCUCAUUGUUGAAGAGGCUUUGCUGUCCACAUGAGUGGAGAAGGGUGUGUCUGCACAGCUGGAGAUGUCUGCUUCCUCUACGACUCCGGUGUUUGUGUUUCCUUGAUGCCAAACCAAGUAGCAGCAUUUAUCUCCAUGAUGGAAGACGGCCACGAUGCUCAGGUAGGUGAUGGGAUGAACCACAGCCAGGUAGCGCUCCACACAGGUCAGGACGUGGAAGAACAUCUCUCCAUACCAGGCGACAUACACAAGAAAGGUCCCCACCAGAAGUAUCUUCAUAUGAUCACUGUAGAUCCCACAGAUCAUAAGGACAGAUCCAAAGACUCCAAUCAUCUCCAUGGUGACCAUGUUGUAGGUGAAGCUGUCAGAGUGACUCGUGGUUGCUGCUGAGGAGGUGGAGUGAUUUAGUCUCCAUUGUUGGAGACCAUGAUACAUGAUGAAGAUGCAGAGAGGGAGGAGGAGGAGGAUGUAGGUGAUACGAUAUGUGAUGUAGAUGAAGGAACCUGGUCUGGUGGUGUAACAGUUCAUGGAUGGAGACAUGAGGUUGUUGGAGGAGGGGUUUGGAUGAAGAAAGGAGCCGUUGGAGGAUGAGGAGAAGUUUACUGACAUCUGGAAGAGAAAAAGAUACGACAAUCAAAUGGGUUCAAUGUAAAAACUAUCAUCAGUUCAUUAGAGCAUCAACGUUCUGAGUGAUUGUUUCUGAGUUUCCUCACUCUGUGUCUGAUUCUGUUAGAUCCAAAUAUACUGUAGACUGUAUAUCAGUCCCACUGUCUCCAUACGUUUAAUUCAGAUAUGUUUCGUUUGCAUUAAAAACUAAAAAACCCAAAACCACACUGUGACAAUGACAAACUGAUUGUCAUUAAAACACACACCUGCUGCCAUGAUGGACAUUUUAUCCACUGCAGGAUGAGCGUAGAUCACCUCUGGAUCUGUCCUUCCUCCUUUUAUCUCCCUACAUUGAUGAGGAUGAGGAUGUUUGCUUUGUUGAAGGUAACAUUGCUCUCUCUCCCUUCUCCUCAUUUGUCAUCUCUCUCAUCCUCUGGUCUUUAUUUAUUUGUCUGUGCUGCUGUCUGUCACCCUCUUUGCUCCUUUAUUACUGUGUUUAAUUGUCACCAGAUUUUAAAAUUGAAUUUGUUAAACUGAAAAGAACAAAGAAGAGAAAUACAAACAGAAAUGAAGUUUCUGUAAUUCCAGAAGUUAAUCUGUGAUUAAUGAUUAUUUGCAUGACAGUCCAACAAGCCCUGCCUGAAACAAAACAAGAAAACUAAACCACACGUCUUCUUUUCUCAGUGAUCAUUUAUCUGCAGACUCAUAUUUGAAUGAAAUAACAAGAACAGCCGCUCUGGACUCAGUCACUUUAUCCUAUUU
Long non-coding RNA from Amphiprion ocellaris (clown anemonefish), 1878 nucleotides. RefSeq lists it as uncharacterized. The transcript has 3 exons. NCBI's taxonomy places the organism in Eukaryota, Metazoa, Chordata, Actinopteri, Pomacentridae. The record is from RefSeq and is a predicted model, not a curated record.